Molecule: ribosomal RNA, 468 nt
Filed under: uncultured bacterium
Lineage: Bacteria
Description: partial 16S ribosomal RNA
Rfam family: Bacterial small subunit ribosomal RNA
Source: RNAcentral
GACGAACGCUGGCGGCGUGCUUAAUACAUGCAAGUCGAACGGAAAGGCCCUGCGUUUGUGGGGUGCUCGAGUGGCGAACGGGUGAGUAACACGUGAGUAACCUGCCCCUGACUUUGUGAUAACUUCAGGAAACUGGGGCUAUUACCCGAUAUGAUCUCCUGCUGCAUGGUGGGGGUUGGAAAGUGUCGGCGGUUGGGGAUGGUCUCGCGGCUUAUCAGCUUGUUGGUGGGGUAGUGGCUUACCAAGGCUUUGACGGGUAGCCGGCCUGAGAGGGUGACCGGCCACAUUGGGACUGAGAUACGGCCCAGACUCCUACGGGAGGCAGCAGUGGGGAAUAUUGCACAAUGGGCGGAAGCCUGAUGCAGCAACGCCGCGUGCGGGAUGACGGCCUUCGGGUUGUAAACCGCUUUCGCCUGUGACGAAGCGUGAGUGACGGUAAUGGGUAAAGAAGCACCGGCUAACUACGUG